Molecule: transfer RNA, 64 nt
Filed under: Megaris sp.
Lineage: Eukaryota; Metazoa; Arthropoda; Insecta; Hemiptera; Megarididae
Description: tRNA-Tyr
Source: RNAcentral
GACAAAGUGACUGAAAUAAAGUGAUAAAUUGUAAAUUUAUAUAUGGUUAUGAUACCCUUUGUCA